AGACUAAAGGAGCACAGCACACAUGAUAAGCAAUUUGGACAAUCAUCUGACCAUGUGACAGUUCCUUGAGAAGCUUGGCAUGGUUGCUGAGAUCCUAGCAGCUGAAGAACUACCUUCUUCAUACCAAGUUUGGCAUCUUCGGUGUCAGAAGCAGGCACUGCCAUUGAAUUUGUUCAUCCACUUCCAGAAUAGAAGAAUAAUAAAAUUUAAAGUUGGAAGGAACCUUAAAGGUCUUCUCCUCUUCAGUGCAGGAAUCUACUACAGCCCCCACACACAUUUUUAAUCUUCAUGUUACAUUUUGUCCUUGGGUAUUGGUACGAAACUUUGAAAUAUAAAGUAAGAAUCAACUCUGAAGAUGGAAUCAAUGAGAGGAGAGGAGAAGAGAAGGUAUCAAAUGUGGGAACAAAAACUUUGAGGUGCACAGAAGACAAUUUAUUGCCUAAUACACACAAUAAAGUAUGAACACUUUUCCUCAGGGGAGACUUUCAGUUAUUUCAAAGAGAAAUCAAAACUAUUUUGUCUCCUACCCCAUCUCAUUAUACAGAUGGUGAGGAAGACAAGACAGGUCUGGUUUCCCUUUGAAAGAGCUGAAUCAGAGUUGCUCCAGAGGAAAAAUCUUAAUACAACAUAGUAGGCAGUAAACUGUCUUCAGCUUAAACUGUCUUCAGUCAGCCCUGGAUAUUAUAAUGGCUUGUCUGAUAAACACUGAGAACUGUUCUAGAAGGCUUGCUUACUUUCUAAAUUAAUAACAUUAAUAAUGAUUUUUAAGCACCUGAAACAAAAAUCUGCUGUACAAACAUAAAAAUUCAGAUCUUGUUUGCAAUCUAAAUAGGCAAGACACAAAAGGAAAAGGAAGUUAUCCUAAUUUGCAGUAAGGAAGCAAUAUUGAAAUGAUUCCCAAAUUUGUGUCAUUUCUUGCAGUAGGUCUAUGCCUUCCCUUCUCUGACUUGUUCUAUAUUUUAGUAUAUGUGUCAUGGAAGCAAGUCCAAGAGAGCCACUCCCCUCUCCAGCCUGCCUGCAAAAUCUGGCUUAAGCCUUAAGAGAUCUUAAGUUCUGCACACACCUUCCUUGCUCUGUGUGCCCCACCUCCAGGAUUCGAUUCAUGCUGAGAUUAGGAGUGGAUCCCAGGCACACACAUUUCCCCACCUCGCUUCCCGUCACAGGUAGAAGUUACCAACUGUUCAAUAAUUCAACUGAUUCUUGUGGGAAAGUACUCAUUGAGUGGGUCAUGCAUCAUUUAAUGAAUGAAGUUUGUAUUUAUAAUUGCGUUAAUAUUUUAACAUUGAUAUGGCAUUGCUUUUCUUUUACAAAGUACAGAUGAACACAGAAGUCCAGCAAUACUCCCUCCUAAUAGAAAUUUCACAAAAAUGUACUUUACCUGUGAAACUGUUCAAAUAAGUUCUUUGGUAUGAAGUUGAAUAUAUUGUACUUUGUAGUCCGUAUUCUGUUAUUCCUAUAAUAUUUUGAUACUUUCCCAUAUUCUUCUUUAAAUUUCCCCAUGCACGGUAUAACAAUCCUGUGCUUGCUGGUUGUCUUGGAUAGCUUAGAAAACUCAUCACCAUUCUUGGUACUGUCAUCAACUCUGCCUCUUGCAACUAACAAGCGCCGCCAGCGAGAUCUGGCCCAUCGAAGAAGUCCUGCCAUCUGCAACCUAAGCUGUGUCCUUAACAGCUUUUUAAAAAGAAAUUACAAAGAGUGGUGAAUUAAUACAUUACAAGCAAGAAAAAGUCACCAUGUUGUUUUGAGAAAAUCCAGUUUAGAGAAAGCCAUUUUUAACUUUAGGAUACCAAAAUUGUAACUCUAGAUAUUAACCGUUUAUGGCACAAUACUGCUAAAUAAACAUCAUUUGUUUGUUUGUUUGUUUGUUUGAGGUUUCAGUUCAGACCAGAGGACAACUAUUUCUGGGUUAACA
Hemicordylus capensis (graceful crag lizard) is the source of this 1912-nucleotide long non-coding RNA. RefSeq lists it as uncharacterized. The transcript is spliced from 3 exons. Lineage: Eukaryota; Metazoa; Chordata; Lepidosauria; Squamata; Cordylidae. The record is from RefSeq and is a predicted model, not a curated record.